Ostrea edulis (European flat oyster) is the source of this 2316-nucleotide RNA transcript. It is a transcript of the gene named protein draper-like, with no coding region annotated. Lineage: Eukaryota; Metazoa; Mollusca; Bivalvia; Ostreida; Ostreidae. The transcript is spliced from 7 exons. The record is from RefSeq and is a predicted model, not a curated record.
CAAUCAUCCUCUCAUUUGAUUAAUAUUUCAUCUCGGAAAUGACUACUAAAACUUACGGAGACUCUCGGUGUUAUGCAAAUUAUUUCUGGAGCGACCUGGAGAAUGGCUGUGUCGAUUAUCCCGACGAGGACGUGCAGGACAUCUUCCCUUACCAAUUUGAGACAGCUGCAACGGAUUCUUACGAUUCCGAUGAGUUAAAUGGAAAGAAUGUUGAACCUGAACAACAUCGCCUCGGAAACACGGAAUGAUGUCAAUGUGGAUUUUGUACCCAUAUGUCAACUGCCAAGGAGAGUGUAUGCUGCAGGUGUUGAUGCGAAGAGGGAGUCAUUCAACAAGGAACUGGCCUGUAUUGCUGAACACUCCGACUUUUCACCAGUGUGUUCAGACGUGUAUGUGCUCGAGACAGCACACUACCAAUACCGAUCCCAGCUUGGAGAAAUGAGGGCAACAAUUGAAGAGCACGUCAUUUUUUUAAUCCAUUUAAUCACCUAAUAUGAUAAUUCACAUCGUUAUUGGGUCAGACUGCAAGUUUAUCAUUAGUGAAUAAUUACAAACAUUUCCUGGAAUUACAGGCGGAACAGAUACACAACAUACAGACAAUUUGUUUGAUGGUGCUAGGGAUAACUAGGACACAAGGUGUGAGUCCCUCUACCGCCAUGUACUGCGACAAAGUUACGGCAUUCCUUUGCCUCUGAGGAGUGUCAAGGAUUCAAUGCACCUGAGUGAUGUCACAUAGAUGUCCGUUCCGCCUGAACAUCGAUCUGAAAUGUAGCACCACUUCUUCUUUAUAAGGAUGGCAAAAGUCACUGUACAAUGGAGGCGGUUAAACAGGCAACAAGCAUAGUAAUGGAUCGGAUGACCCCUGAAAGGUCAAACACGUCUCCUUCAUCAGGACUGAUUUAUAGUCUGGAAUAAAUGGACAAUAUUUGAAAUGUUAUGAGUGCUUUAUAUCCUAACAAAUAAAUUGUUCUCUAGUAAAUAUAUUGUUGUUUCAAUCCUGUUUGAAAGAAAAGUAACAAUUUUAUGCAAAAAUGUGGAGUAAACUUGCCAUACAAUUUUAUUGUGGUAUGAAUUAUGAUAGUGGGUUAUCUUUAGAAGUACAUUCUUACUAAAUAUAGGAUUGAUAAUGUAUUUAUAUACACAUUGAAAUAGGUUGUAUGGGUAUGUAAGCGUAUUUAAGUACCUAUUGAGAAUAACUAUGUGGAUAUGUAGAUGUAUUUAUGUACUCCUGAAAAUGGUUACGUGGGAGGGUAAUAAUAUUUUAUAGGUACUUGUAUUUCCUGAAAGGCAGGGACGUUUCUUAUCACGGUCUUGCAAAGCAGGGAGCUUCGGUACCAACUGCGAAAAGAUUUGUCCACCCGGUCGUUAUGGAAAAUUCUGUGCAUUGGAAUGCGUUUGUCGAACGAGUUAUUACUGUGAUAAGGUGAAGGGUUGCGUAUCUAAAGCCACCACGACAAUAUUUGAAGGAGACAAUGAUUCCACUAUAUUCACACAUCCUGGAUUUACUCAUUCCAUUGAACCAGUUACCUGUAUGGAUCGCCCGAUACCCAAUAAAGGAAUGAUUUCAAAAAUGAUCAUGAUUAACGGAAGCGUCAUCAUUGCUUUGCUUUUGGUGCUCAUUAUCAUUAUAUCUAUCAGAAAGUAUUUGAUGUUCAUGUACUGGAAAAGAAAAGUCAAGUUAGAUCAUGCUCCACUAACCAUGAUUGAUCCAGUUUAUUCGGAAGCUGAAGGGAUGUCUGGAGAUGAUAUCUAUAUAAAGCAAAACAAGCGAAACAACGAAGGUGAUUCUAGAGGAAAACAUCCGAGUUGUAGAAAGGAAUUGGGGUUAAUGUGUUUCAAAGUAUGAACUUUUGAAGAAUAAAUCACUACUGCUCAUCGAGAUAAUGUUUUAAAGGAAAACAAAGCAGACUCUAAGAAAAAUACCCUGGAGGUAAUGAAAUAAUUGACGAUGAUGUUAUUUCAAACAUUGUGUAAAUCUAUUUGUAUCAGUCAGAACAUACUCACUAACGAUGCUGCUGUAUGAUAACAUAAACUAUAGUUGUUAUCUAGUAAUAUGGUACUUUUAACAGCAUGGUUGGGGAAGUAUUUCCUUAAACAAAAUUUCGCACAAAAUCUGUACAUCUGUAUACAUAGUGUCACCAUCACAUUAACAACAUUAAAAUCUGAUAUACAUGUAUAGCGUCACCACUUCAUUGACAACAUUAAAUAUGUACAUCUGUAUACAUAGUGUCACCACUCCAUUGACAACAUUAGCUUUGUAUAUCUGUAUAUAUAGUGUCACCACUUCAUUGACAACAUUAAAUCUGUAUAUCUGUA